UACGUAGGGUGCGAGCGUUAAUCGGAAUUACUGGGCGUAAAGCGUGCGCAGGCGGUUUUGUAAGCCAGAUGUGAAAUCCCCGGGCUUAACCUGGGAAUGGCAUUUGGGACUGCAAGGCUUGAGUGCGGCAGAGGAGACUGGAAUUCCUGGUGUAGCAGUGAAAUGCGUAGAUAUCAUUUGGAACGCCGACGGUGAAAACAGCUCGCUGGGAGUGUCCUGACGCUGAGACGCGAAAGCCAGGGGAGCGAACGGG
RNAcentral lists this ribosomal RNA (253 nucleotides) under uncultured prokaryote. RNAcentral describes it as "partial 16S ribosomal RNA". It matches the Rfam family "Bacterial small subunit ribosomal RNA", at positions 524 to 776 of the family's 1533-position model. The record is from RNAcentral.